AUUGAACGCUGGCGGCAGGCCUAACACAUGCAAGUCGAGCGGAUGAAGGGAGCUUGCGCCUGGAUCCCGCGGCGGACGGGUGAGUAAUGCCUAGGAAUCUGCCUGGUAGUGGGGUAUAACGUCCGGAAACGGGCGCUGAUACCGCAUACGUCCUGAGGGAGAAAGUGGGGGAGCUUCGGACCUCACGCUAGCAGAUGAGCCUAGGUCGGAUUAGCUAGUUGGUGGGGUAAAGGCCUACUAAGGCGACGAUCCGUAACUGGUCUGAGAGGAUGAUAAGUCACAUUAGAGCUUGGACGCGGUCCAGACGCCUGCGGGAGGGAGCAGUGGCGAAUGUUGGGCAGCAGGCGAAAGCCUGAUCCAACCAUGCCGCGUGUGUGAAGAAGGUCUUCGGAUUGUAAAGCACUUUUAGUUGUGAGAAAGGGCAGUAAGUUGAGACCUUGCUGUUUUGACGUUACCAACAGAAUAAGCACCGGCUAACUUCGUG
RNAcentral lists this ribosomal RNA (484 nucleotides) under uncultured bacterium. RNAcentral's name for it is "partial 16S ribosomal RNA". It matches the Rfam family "Bacterial small subunit ribosomal RNA", at positions 30 to 507 of the family's 1533-position model. The record is from RNAcentral.